AAUGCGGUUUUUUUUAAAACCAUCUAUUUGUUUAAGUAAUGUCUAU
Schistosoma margrebowiei is the source of this 46-nucleotide non-coding RNA. Lineage: Eukaryota; Metazoa; Platyhelminthes; Trematoda; Strigeidida; Schistosomatidae. The record is from Rfam.